This is a long non-coding RNA of Cygnus olor (mute swan), 2763 nucleotides long. RefSeq lists it as uncharacterized. NCBI's taxonomy places the organism in Eukaryota, Metazoa, Chordata, Aves, Anseriformes, Anatidae. The record is from RefSeq and is a predicted model, not a curated record. The transcript is spliced from 3 exons.
CCAUGGGGCUGCCGCCUCCCUCCUCUUCCUCCCCCGGCCGCCCCACCACCGCUCCUGAGGGGGCGCAGAGCCCGGGGCCGCCCCCUCAUAGCCGCCCCCAAAUGGCCGCCCCCCAACGGCCGCCCUCCAACGGCCGCCCCCUAACGGUCGCUCCCCAACGGCUGCUCGCGGGCGCGGCGCCCUGAGGCGAGGAGAGGCGAGGGGAGCUGCGGGGGUCGCCGCCGCCUCAGCGCCCUUGGGGGGGCUGUGGGGAGCCCCGGGGCGGCGAGUGAAGGAGACACGUUAGGAAGUUCGUUAGCUUGGGGGGAAAUAAAGAUAAAAAUGCAUAAGAGGUUCUCCGUCUAUUUCUGUAACUAAACUUUUUGUCUCCUCCAUCAUCUGAAAAGGCCGUUUGCUGCUUCUUGCCACUUCAGAUUAUCGGGGCGUCUCACACUGGUUUUGGUGUUUGCAAGGUGUGAGGCUGUCUGGGCAGUGUCACUUCUUCGGCAACAUCUGCAUAUAUAACAGACGCAGUCCCUCAGUUUUCUGUCGUCACAGAUGACAUCUUGUCUUUUCAUCUUACCCUAUGCGAUGCUAUGCAAUGGGUGUGUUACAAUGCUCUUGGUGCUCUCUUGCACCUUAUUUCUUGAAUGCCAAAAAAAUAAUUUUCUUUCAAGAAUUGAAAGUAACUGGAAUCUAAUAGUCAGAUUCUGUUGUCACCUUCUUUUCCACGCAUCUCUGUAUUUUUAACUAGAAGUAUAACCAAAGGGAACAAUGCUUAUUUUGCUAUUGUAAAAAUAAAUUGUGUGUCUCAACCCAAAUACAGGGGACUUCACAUUACGUUUCACAGGACAAAUGCAAAGACAGACAUUACUAGAACCGGUCCUUACAUUCCGCAACUUUUUAUUGGCAAUACGCAGAAUCUCCAGUACCACCUGAGGGUUAUUUGUAUCACAGCACAUGGCACUCUUCUGCCUGGCCCAGCCCUUGGUGUGUGGUUUGGCACAUCUCACCUCAAAGGAGACAAGAGCCUCUUUGGGGCCACCGUAAACCAGUACAACGAUGUACUUUACAUUAGUAGGCCCAUUUAAUCACUUAAUAUUUUCCUUUAACAAAGUGGUAGAUUUAAAAUGGUUAUCAGGGUACAGAAGCUCUGUACGGUUGUUUUUGGCUGGUAGUGUUUUAUCUGAGCUGAGUUUUGAGUCCUAGUCCUCAGCAGUACACAGGAGUAACUGAAGAGGGACCAAAACCUCUGUUAGGCUCUCCCAGUUAACUUUGGUUGGAAAUAAACUUCACACAGAGAAUAUUGUAUGGUAGAUUUAGGGAUGGUAUUCAGGUUUCUUUGGCUCCCAAAAUUCAGGACUCCAAAAUCUUAUACUCAAAAUGCAUCCCACAGAGGAGGUUUCAGCAUCAGAGAUCUUGUGUGUCCUGUCAGCCAUUCUGCAUGGCAAACACUGGCCACAGAAAAGUCAUCCCCCCUCAUCCUGAUUUGCAAAGUCAGUGUUAUUUCUGUGCAUGUUUGCUAAUAAAUCAAUGCAAAUCCCACUAUAUAGAUGAUAUUGUAGCAUGAUUCUUUUAGCCCAAAUCCCUUAAUCAAAAGAUCUCCCCCAACCUCUUAAUCAAGUUCAGCACAACAGCAAAUGUGACAGCUGAUAGCAGUUUGCUGUGGUCUGGCAGCUCAUUUACUAGGGAGAAGAGACAAACAACUUUUUUAAUCCUGACUAAAGGCUUGAUCUGAAUUAGUAAAAACGUUCUGAAGCAAAAAUGAAGACCUCUGUCUUCAGGUUUGCAGUAGAGUAACUUCACAAGAGUUGCUCCUGAGUUACUCAUGUGGAAAGGAGGCUUGGUCCCUGUGGUAUCUGGUCUCCCAGACUCAUCCUUGCAGAAAGAGAAGCAGGGCAUGCAGCCUGGGUGAGCACCAAGCUCUGAAUCACCAAAGGCUGCAUGGGGGUCAGGAUUGGGAGCAGCAGGUAUUGAUUCUGCUGCAUUAGAUGGGUGCAUUACUCCCCAGCAUGCCUUUUUGCUUCCUUCCAGUGUUGAAAAGGAGGAAUGGCCUCUUCAGGGAGCCUGAAAUAGCUGCAUUAGUGCUUUGGAGGCCACAGUUUAUAGAGCUGGACACAGAUCAUAAGGGAGGCUCGUUAAAUUCUCUCAUACCAUACGGGUAUGUAAUGCACACAUGCUUCGGUGCCUCAUCCCCCAGUUUGUCCCCUUGCCAUCUCUGGCAGGUAAUCUCAAUAGCAGAAACAGGUAAACGACUGAUUGUUGGCUAGGAUAUACACAAAUAUCUAUACUCAGGGGUGGGAAGUCAAUUGUUUCUCAACAUAUAAUGGCAUAAUUCCAUAUACUGAAAAAGUAAAAUGCUUUGUCCCCUGGACAUCAGGUCAGCCACUCAGAUUCAACUAGUUAAGUGUGCAACAAGAAGUAACAUGAAGCUGUAACUCACUUUUUGCAGUUCAUCCUGAUAACUGAAGCCGUUGACUCUCUUUCUCCAAGUCCUUACCUGAACUCCCUCCCUUCCUCUGGCUGGCAACCUGUAGAUGCACAGCAGGCUCCCACAAAGUGAUGGACCCAGGUUUUCUCUUUCAACUGAUACCUUUGCCCACCUACUUUGUGUAUUUCUCCCUAUCAUCCAGAAAAAAAGAAAAUAAAUGUGAAUUCAUUUUAAAACUAAGAAGGUAUUAUGUUCCUUCCUUUACAAAAAUUGCAAAAACCAGCAGAUCUCCAAAGUUCAACAUCCAGCUCCCAAUUCAUCGUCUGUGAGGGAGGCCACUUGUCCUUGCCCAG